This 483-nucleotide ribosomal RNA is filed under the name Triticum aestivum (bread wheat). RNAcentral's name for it is "partial small subunit ribosomal RNA". The record is from RNAcentral. Lineage: Eukaryota; Viridiplantae; Streptophyta; Magnoliopsida; Poales; Poaceae.
AUGACCUCCACCAACAGCUGGACCCACGAGAUUGAGUCCUCAGUCGCGGCACCGCGCCUGUUCCGUGCCGGCAUCAUGGACUGGCAUACUCUGGCACCCAAGCUCGCGCCCCACAUCGUCGCCAGCGCCCAUCCCGUCAACGGCGAAGGCGGCAUCGGCAGCGUCAGGCAGUUCAACUUUACCUCAGCCAUGCCCUUUAGCGUCAUGAAGGAGAGGCUAGAGUUCCUGGACGAGGAGAAGUGCGAGUGCAAGUCAACCCUCAUCGAGGGCGGCGGCAUCGGCUCGGCCAUCGAGACCGCAACGUCGCACAUCAAGGUGGAGCCGGCGGCCAACGGCGGGAGCGUCGUGAAAGUGGACUCGACGUACAAGCUGCUGCCAGGCGUGGAGGUGAAUGACGAAAUCACCAAGGCCAAGGAAUCCGUCACCGCCAUCUUCAAGGCCGCCGAGGCCUACCUCAUCGCCAACCCCGACGCCUACAACUGA